CCAUAGAUGCCUUGCUAUGUCGAUGAAGAUAAGCUGCAAGGGUAUUUUCCACCAAACUUCAAGUCGAUGUGUAGCUUUUGGUUUACUGCUCUUAUUUGAACCAGCUAGAGGAGGAAAUGAUUCUUCUCCAAGACAAGCAGUAGUCCUUGAGCUUUGACUAAGAGCUUGAGCAUAACUAGAAGAGGGCUCAUAUGGCUCCUUAUCUGCAAGGGGCG
Molecule: long non-coding RNA, 215 nt
Filed under: Elaeis guineensis (African oil palm)
Lineage: Eukaryota; Viridiplantae; Streptophyta; Magnoliopsida; Arecales; Arecaceae
Description: long non-coding RNA (EGUI_LNC011917)
Source: RNAcentral